UACAAAAUUAUUCACAACCUAAAAGCUGAGAGUUCUGUUUCAUUUGAUGGGAAUUUUUAGGACUUCAAGCCAGGAAGGGUGCAUCUCAAAUAACCCUGAGAACUGCUGCGGGGAAAGCAAGGGAGACAACCAAGGCAAAUUCUUUAGCAUCUGAGCCACCUGGGAAGAUCUGUUUCAGAGGUACAGCAUUAUAAUUCAACACCUGAACUCUCUGCAAAGUGAUCACAAGUCUGGUCAGCAUCCAUCACUGUGCUGUUGAUGUCCUUUCCCUCAGGCUCCCACUCUUCAAGGUUGGUGCCUCCCCAAGCUCCUGCUCUGCUCUUGGCCCAGUUCCUAUCCAGGGCCAAGAUCCUCUCCAUUGUCUGAUGGAAGAAGAACACUGAGGGUCAGGUGAGGAUGGUCUCUAUCAGACAAUGGAAGAAAGAACUCGAGGGUGAGAGACUUUUGUCCCUCUCCUAAGGAGCAGCCAGUGAAUAACACCAGCUCCCUCAAGAGGACAGGCCAUGGUGAAAAUGCCUGCAGGGGAAGGAGUGCCUUGUGGGUGUCGGUGACCUAAGGGAACAAUGGAAAGAGAAGGCCAGGUCCUGUUGUCUUGUGUUCACUCUCCCGGGCCCCUGUGGUCUCAUGUUUGCUCUGCCACUGACCAGAUCGGGGCUCAGACACUGCUCAGGUCACUCCUUGAUGAUUCCAUUUCUUCAUCCAAAAAUUAA
Molecule: long non-coding RNA, 710 nt
Organism: Odocoileus virginianus texanus
Lineage: Eukaryota; Metazoa; Chordata; Mammalia; Artiodactyla; Cervidae
Source: RefSeq, a predicted model, not a curated record